Molecule: ribosomal RNA, 907 nt
Filed under: uncultured bacterium
Lineage: Bacteria
Description: bacterial SSU rRNA
Rfam family: Bacterial small subunit ribosomal RNA
Source: RNAcentral
UAUGGAUUGUGUCAGCCGCCGCGCGGUAAUACGUAGGGGGCGAGCGUUGUCCGGAUUUAUUGGGCGUGAAGAGCUCGUAGGCGGUUCAACAAGUCGGUCGUGAAAGUUCAGGGCUCAACCCUGAAAUGUCGAUCGAUACUGUUGUGACUAGGAUAUGGUAGAGGUGAGUGGAAUUCCGAGUGUAGCGGUGAAAUGCGUAGAUAUUCGGAGGAACACCAAUUGCGAAGGCAGCUCACUGGGCCACUAUCGACGCUGAGGAGCGAAAGCUAGGGGAGCAAACAGGAUUAGAUACCCUGGUAGUCCUAGCUGUAAACGAUGGAUACUAGAUGUAGGAAUUGGAUUGACGAUUUCUGUAUCGUAGCUAACGCGUUAAGUAUCCCGCCUGGGGAGUACGGUCGCAAGACUAAAACUCAAAGGAAUUGACGGGACCCCGCACAAGCGGCGGAGCAUGCGGCUUAAUUCGAUGAUACCCGUAGAACCUUACCUGGACUUGACAUAUAGGGAAAAGUUAUAGAAAUAUAAUGUGCGUAAGCGCCCUAUACAGGUGGUGCAUGGCUGUCGUCAGCUCGUGUCGUGAGAUGUUGGGUUAAGUCCCGCAACGAGCGCAACCCCUGUCCUAUGUUGCCAGCAAGUAAUGUUGGGGACUCAUAGGAGACUGCCGGUGAUAAACCGGAGGGAGGUGGGGACGACGUCAAGUCAUCAUGCCCCUUAUGUCCAGGGCUGCACGCAUGCUACAAUGGCAAGUACAACGAGUCGCGAUACCGCAAGGUGGAGCAAAUCUCUUAAAGCUUGUCUCAGUUCGGAUAGGAGUCUGCAACUCGACUCCUUGAAGUUGGAGUCGCUAGUAACCGCAAAUCAGCUAAGUUGCGGUGAAUACGUUCUCGGGGUUUGCACACACCGCCCGUCA